UUUGCGCGGGGAAGAGCUUGCGUACCAUUAACUAGUUGGGAGGGUAAGGGCCUACCAAGGCGACCAUGGGUUCGGGUCCGAGAAGAUGAUCCCCCACACUGGAACUGGAACACGGACCAAACUCCUACUGGAGGGAGCCCUGAGGAAUAUUGCUCAAUGGGGGCGACCCUGACGCAUCGACACCUCGCGGAUAAUGAAAGCCUCCCGGUUGUAUAAUCCCGCCCAUGGAAAAAAUGGGUAGGGGGUUAACAGCCCUGUUAUUUGACGGUGGCGGUCUAGGAAUCCCCGCUA
Molecule: ribosomal RNA, 291 nt
Filed under: uncultured delta proteobacterium
Lineage: Bacteria; Deltaproteobacteria
Description: partial 16S ribosomal RNA
Rfam family: Bacterial small subunit ribosomal RNA
Source: RNAcentral